UUACGAUCAUAUCACGUUGAAAUACCGGUUUCCGUACGAUCACCGGCUAAGCAAUGUCGAGCCUGGUCAGUACCUAAAUGGGUGACUGUCUGGGAAUAAGUGGUACUGUAAG
Molecule: non-coding RNA, 112 nt
Organism: Acanthosepion pharaonis
Lineage: Eukaryota; Metazoa; Mollusca; Cephalopoda; Sepiida; Sepiidae
Source: the annotation of a GenBank genome assembly